RNAcentral lists this ribosomal RNA (497 nucleotides) under uncultured bacterium. RNAcentral describes it as "partial 16S ribosomal RNA". It matches the Rfam family "Bacterial small subunit ribosomal RNA", at positions 28 to 507 of the family's 1533-position model. The record is from RNAcentral.
GAUGAACGCUGGCGGCGUGCCUAAUACAUGCAAGUCGAGCGAAAAGACGAGGAUCUUGCUCCUCUGACGUUAGCGGCGGACGGGUGAGUAACACGUGGAUAACCUACCUAUAAGACUGGGAUAACUUCGGGAAAGCGGAGCUAAUACCGGAUAAUAUAUUGAACCGCAUGGUUCAAUAGUGAAAGACGGUUUUGCUGUCACUUAUAGAUGGAUCCGCGCCGGAUUAGCUAGUUGGUAAGGUAACGGCUUACCAAGGCGACGAUGCGUAGCCGACCUGAGAGGGGGAUCGGCCACACUGGAACUGAGACACGGUCCAGACUCCUACGGGAGGCAGCAGUAGGGAAUCUUACGCAAUGGGCGAAAGCCUGACGGAGCAACGCCGCGUGAGUGAUGAAGGUCUUCGGAUCGUAAAGCUCUGUUAUUAGGGAAGAACAAAUGUGGAAGUAAAUAUGCACGUCUUGACGGUACCUAAUCAAAAAGCAACGGCUAACUACGUG